Molecule: unclassified non-coding RNA, 341 nt
Filed under: Hevea brasiliensis (rubber tree)
Lineage: Eukaryota; Viridiplantae; Streptophyta; Magnoliopsida; Malpighiales; Euphorbiaceae
Source: RNAcentral
GGAAAAGUAAAGACGAGCACCCCUACUAACAUUUACCCUCACUAUUUCUAAAUCUUUAAUGAUCAACAACACCUUUAGAAAAGCAGGCCUUCAAAUACUCACUAAUGAUCCAAACACAGCUUUACGAGAAAAAAAAUAUUUCCAGGAGACCUAAUUUAAUUACAACCUUCAUAAAAAAUAGGCUGAAUCAUUAACCUAUCAGUAAAAGCAGUCUUAAAAGUUAGGUACUGAGAAUAGGAUAACCCAGAAAAGCAAGAACAGCAAAACAUCUCGAACGAUGAGGAGAAGCUACAUAAAUGUAUCUGUAUGAACAUAAUAUAUAUGUACUCACUGCAUCUUGG